Molecule: long non-coding RNA, 442 nt
Filed under: Homo sapiens (human)
Lineage: Eukaryota; Metazoa; Chordata; Mammalia; Primates; Hominidae
Description: HSALNT0079153
Source: RNAcentral
GGGAGACAAUAAACAGACACACCUGUAGUUGUUCCCAAACUUUAUUAUAGGGAAAAGUCACCUGGAGAACUUGUUUAAAUUGUGGAUUCUCCCAAAACCACCCCACCCUAGCCCCAGAAGAUCAGAUUCAGUUGAUCUGGAUGAGCCUAGGGCUCUACAUUUGCCACAAUCUCCGCAGUGAUCCUGAGGGAGGAGAAACCCCAGGGAAAAUAUGGCUAAUGAGGAUGAAAAAACAGACAAGAGGUGGAACUUCAAUGAAGAGGAAAACUCUUCCUAGCCUUGGUCGAGAGCGAGCACACUAAAACUCUGCCCUGAAAGAGGAAUUGACUCUUGAGCAGAACACAGAAACUGAUAUGGGUGAUGGACCCAACCAAAAGAGAAAGCCCCGAACUCCUGCUCAUCAGAUGGGUGAAGCAGAUGUUCCUGUCUUUCUCAAAGUCUG